Molecule: ribosomal RNA, 1308 nt
Filed under: Triticum aestivum (bread wheat)
Lineage: Eukaryota; Viridiplantae; Streptophyta; Magnoliopsida; Poales; Poaceae
Description: partial small subunit ribosomal RNA
Source: RNAcentral
AUGGGAUGGAUCCGGCGGGUGGAGUCGCGCGGGCACCGGCUCGUCGAGGCGCGCGACCAUGCGGCGGGGGGAGGGGAGAGGGCCGAGCUGCUGGUGGGGGUGGAGAGGGCCGGUGAGGCCACCCCAAGAUUUGCCGCGGCAUGGGAUCCGGCGGUCAGCGGGCGGAGUUGCGCGGGCGCCGGGUCGUCGAGGCACGCGGCGGGGAAGGGGAGAGGGCGAGAGGAAAUGAACGCCAGCGUGCCAGGUGGGCCGUCGAGCCGGCCCGUUAGGCAACUUUAUAGUGCAUGGGCCGUGGAGGCCACCACGCGUUCCUGGUCGAAUAUAGGAGACAUGGAUAUGGACUUUGGAGAUGCACGGAAAGAAUCCAUUGAGGGUUCAUAUGCGAUGUUGCUGCAAGGGGACAAAAAUUCACAACAUAAAAAUGUCGAAGAGGGAUAUACAGUCAUCGAAUCAAUCAAGUCUGCCCCCAAGAAUACCCAGUUCGUGGACAUUGGAGAUGCCUUGUUAUCAACCGACGAUUUGGAAUGCCUUAUGAAAGAUGAUAUGUUUUUACAUCACGGUGUGAUAAAUGCUUACAUAUAUUGCAUGCUUGCUCACGACCAUCUACAAGACAGAGCGGGUGAAAAGUUAUUCAUUCCAAUUAACAUACCGGGCUACCAUUGGUAUCUAGCAGUCUUCAAUGCCAAAAAACGUGAGAUUCAACGUAUCAUGUGGACUGUUUAUGCUAAAUUAUAUGGAAUACUGAACAUCACAUGCACUGUCAGACCAAUUCACCCAGAGCUGAAUAAGCUAAAAGGAGGUCACAUAUACCAUCAACCUGACGAUCAAGAAACUUUAGCUAAUUCUGAUCUCAAUAUAUUGGACAAUCCAUCUGACGUAGUCAAAGACAAACGUCCUACACCAAUCACUAUCAUACCCACGGACCAACGUGAAUUACUUGCCGGCCUCUGCAACUACAUCAUGUCGAUCGAUGAUGCCGGUUGUUUGGAGAAGGUAUGGGUCCGGAGCUCGACACCCGAUCUAAUGGGCUUAAGUCUUAAGAAACUUCAGUGCAUACUUAACAUAGAGCAGCCCAUGGACAAUGAUUGCUUCAACACAGCCGUGCGUAUGCUGGCAUGUGACGAGGGAGUAUUGUUCACAUACCCUCCUGUGCACUACAUGGAUCUACGAUUUUGUUCCAUGAUGCUAGAGUCAACACGAGGUCAGAAGUUUUGCGAGAAGGAAACUAUCCAGACGUUGGCAACAUUAUUUGAUAGCUGGCCUGAGAUGGACAACGACAUCUCAUCAUGCAACAAGCUCCACUUGUAG